Molecule: ribosomal RNA, 305 nt
Filed under: uncultured bacterium
Lineage: Bacteria
Description: bacterial SSU rRNA
Rfam family: Bacterial small subunit ribosomal RNA
Source: RNAcentral
CCUACGGGACGCAGCAGUGGGGAAUAUUGCACAAUGGGGGAAACCCUGAUGCAGCAACGCCGCGUGAGUGAAGAAGUAUUUCGGUAUGUAAAGCUCUACCAGCAGGGAAGAAGAAGGACGGUACCUGACUAAGAAGCCCCGGCUAACUACGUGCCAGCAGCCGCGGUAAUACGUAGGGGGCGAGCGUUAUCCGGAUUUAUUGGGUUUAAAGGGUGCGCAGGCGGCACAGCAAGCCGGCGGUCAAAUCGCGGGGCUCAACCCCGCCCAGCCGUCGGAACUGCCGGGCUAGAGUGGGCGAGAAGUGC